AUCAGAAGCAGCUGGUCCAGAUAAAGACCACUGGGGUUCUGAUAUUUAGGAAUCACGUCCACGGAGGAGCUGGAAUUGAGACUUGAUUGCUACACCGACACCAGAAACUGAUCUAGAAGUGCUGCAAUCUCAUCAGAAAAAUGCUGUUUCCGGUAGUAUUUCUAACCAGGAAGAGAAGGAGAAGUAUCUGGAAUCACCUAAGAAAGCCCCAGCUCUCCUGAGAGCCGGUCUUGAAUUUUGCUGGCACAGAGCAUUGGAUCAGUAAUCAGAAAAUCACGAUUUUAAAACAGAACUGCUUCCAAUGCAUCUAAGGUCACACAGCCUGAGCCCUACACAACAGCUCUUGCUUCUGGGGUUGAGCGAACUGGAACAAAGACACCCACCGAGCCACCUUGGAAAGCAAUUUGGAGCAGUCCCAGCAAAGAGCGUUAAGGGGAAAAACAGCAAAUACCUUCUAAUAUAUAACAUCGAAAUGCUAGAGGGACAGAAACUAGCUUUUAUCUUGAAGGUUCUUGGGAGUUUGAUUUCUCUAGAAAGACAGGGACCCCCCCAUCCACAUUUCUGUUGUAUUGUGGGUCAGUAUGUGAUCAUUACUUUAAGAUGUUUUGUUAUUUUAGCUUUUUAAGCAGCAAAAACAAAAGAGCCAAAAUUUCUCAAUUUCUUUGCUCAUCCCAAGCUCAUGAUUUCACCACAGAUAACUAAUAACUACUUUUGAAAGUAUGACACAUAAUUUCCAGACAUUUCCAUAAAAAAUAAAAGUAUGUCUAUAUACAUACCCACAAAAACUGUUUUAAAUAUACAUCUGAAAUAUUUAUAGAAACUAUCAUCCAUUAAA
This is a long non-coding RNA of Erinaceus europaeus (western European hedgehog), 835 nucleotides long. RefSeq lists it as uncharacterized. The transcript is spliced from 4 exons. The record is from RefSeq and is a predicted model, not a curated record. NCBI's taxonomy places the organism in Eukaryota, Metazoa, Chordata, Mammalia, Eulipotyphla, Erinaceidae.